UACGGAGGGGGCUAGCGUUGUUCGGAAUUACUGGGCGUAAAGCGCACGUAGGCGGCUUUGUAAGUUAGAGGUGAAAGCCCAGGGCUCAACCCUGGAAUUGCCUUUAAGACUGCAUCGCUUGAACAUCGGAGAGGUAAGUGGAAUUCCGAGUGUAGAGGUGAAAUUCGUAGAUAUUCGGAAGAACACCAGUGGCGAAGCGACUUACUGGACGAUUGUUGACGCUGAGGUGCGAAAGCGUGGGGAGCAAACAGG
This 252-nucleotide ribosomal RNA is filed under the name uncultured bacterium. Its description in RNAcentral is "partial 16S ribosomal RNA". It matches the Rfam family "Bacterial small subunit ribosomal RNA", at positions 524 to 776 of the family's 1533-position model. The record is from RNAcentral.